RNAcentral lists this ribosomal RNA (408 nucleotides) under uncultured soil bacterium. Its description in RNAcentral is "bacterial SSU rRNA". It matches the Rfam family "Bacterial small subunit ribosomal RNA", at positions 26 to 478 of the family's 1533-position model. The record is from RNAcentral.
AGAACGAACGCUGGCGGCAUGCCUAAUACAUGCAAGUCGAACGAACACUUCGGUGUUAGUGGCGCACGGGUGCGUAACGCGUGGGAAUCUGCCCUUGGGUUCGGAAUAACAGUUGGAAACGACUGCUAAUACCGGAUGAUAUCGAAAGAUCAAAGAUUUAUCGCCCAGGGAUGAGCCCGCGUAGGAUUAGCUAGUUGGUGAGGUAAAGGCUCACCAAGGCGACGAUCCUUAGCUGGUCUGAGAGGAUGAUCAGCCACACUGGGACUGAGACACGGCCCAGACUCCUACGGGAGGCAGCAGUAGGGAAUAUUGGACAAUGGGCGCAAGCCUGAUCCAGCAAUGCCGCGUGAGUGAUGAAGGUCCUUAGGGUUGUAAAGCUUACUUUACCCGAGAUGAUAAUGACAGUAU